Non-coding RNA from Schistosoma margrebowiei, 45 nucleotides. NCBI's taxonomy places the organism in Eukaryota, Metazoa, Platyhelminthes, Trematoda, Strigeidida, Schistosomatidae. The record is from Rfam.
AUCCAGAUGAUGAGUCCCAAAAAGGACGAAACGCGCGUCCUGGAU